Molecule: regulatory RNA element, 54 nt
Organism: Astyanax mexicanus (Mexican tetra)
Lineage: Eukaryota; Metazoa; Chordata; Actinopteri; Characiformes; Acestrorhamphidae
Rfam family: UnaL2 LINE 3' element
About the family: The eel long interspersed element (LINE) UnaL2 and its partner short interspersed element (SINE) share a conserved 3' tail containing a stem-loop that is critical for their retrotransposition. Presumably, the first step of retrotransposition is the recognition of their 3' tails by UnaL2-encoded reverse transcriptase.
Source: Rfam
UUGAAGCACCGUUGUAAGUCGCUCUGGAUAAGAGUGUAUGCUAAAUACCAUAAA